Molecule: ribosomal RNA, 455 nt
Filed under: uncultured Hyphomicrobiales bacterium
Lineage: Bacteria; Pseudomonadati; Pseudomonadota; Alphaproteobacteria; Hyphomicrobiales
Description: bacterial SSU rRNA
Rfam family: Bacterial small subunit ribosomal RNA
Source: RNAcentral
CCCGCACAAGCGGUGGAGCAUGUGGUUUAAUUCGAAGCAACGCGAAGAACCUUACCAGGUCUUGACAUCCCGAUGCUAUUCUAGAGAUAGAAAGUUACUUCGGUACAUCGGUGACAGGUGGUGCAUGGUUGUCGUCAGCUCGUGUCGUGAGAUGUUGGGUUAAGUCCCGCAACGAGCGCAACCCUUGCCAUUAGUUGCUACGAAAGGGCACUCUAAUGGGACUGCCGGUGACAAACCGGAGGAAGGUGGGGAUGACGUCAAGUCCUCAUGGCCCUUAUAGGUGGGGCUACACACGUCAUACAAUGGCCGGUACAGAGGGUAGCCAACCCGCGAGGGGGAGCCAAUCCCACAAAGCCGGUCGUAGUCCGGAUCGCAGUCUGCAACUCGACUGCGUGAAGUCGGAAUCGCUAGUAAUCGUGGAUCAGCAUGUCACGGUGAAUACGUUCCCGGGUCUU